Long non-coding RNA from Ictalurus punctatus (channel catfish), 392 nucleotides. The record is from Ensembl. NCBI's taxonomy places the organism in Eukaryota, Metazoa, Chordata, Actinopteri, Siluriformes, Ictaluridae.
AGAAAGCUCAGAGAUGUGUCCGUAACGCAAGACUGAAAUAAUAAUAAUAAUAACAACAAUAAUAAUAACAGUAAUUAAAUGAAUUAAAAAAACAAUAACAAUAAAGAAAGAGCGUGUCUGAUUGAGUGUAAUGACGGUUUAAGUGCUGAAACGUUUGGAUAUUUACUUGAUUUCAUCUGGAAGAAGUGUCGGUUGGUUCUCAAUAGGAACCAAGAGGAUUCUUAGUGUCGCAUUUUGGGUUUCUCUUGACCUCACUGGAUUUUAACCUGGUCACAGAGGGAGCAUCUUAAGCCAAAGAUUACAGAGCAGAAGAGGUCUGAGCAGGGAUCACAGAUGGAGGUGAAGAUCUGAGAGGAGAGAGGGAUGAACGGGGUGGUGACAGUCAGAGCCAG